UACGUAGGGGGCUAGCGUUAUCCGGAAUUACUGGGCGUAAAGGGUGCGUAGGUGGUUUCUUAAGUCAGAAGUGAAAGGCUACGGCUCAACCGUAGUAAGCUUUUGAAACUAAGAGACUUGAGUGCAGGAGAGGAGAGUAGAAUUCCUAGUGUAGCGGUGAAAUGCGUAGAUAUUAGGAGGAAUACCAGUUGCGAAGGCGACUCUCUGGACUGUAACUGACACUGAGGCACGAAAGCGUGGGGAGCAAACAGGAUUAGAUACCCUGGUAGUCCACGCCGUAAACGAUGAGUACUAGCUGUCGGGGGUUACCCCCCUCGGUGGCGCAGCUAACGCAUUAAGUACUCCGCCUGGGAAGUACGCUCGCAAGAGUGAAACUCAAAGGAAUUGGCGGGG
RNAcentral lists this ribosomal RNA (393 nucleotides) under uncultured bacterium. RNAcentral describes it as "partial 16S ribosomal RNA". It matches the Rfam family "Bacterial small subunit ribosomal RNA", at positions 524 to 918 of the family's 1533-position model. The record is from RNAcentral.